GUUAAAAAUCUAUAUUAAGAGCUAAGUUUAUAUUAAAAAGUCAAUUCAUUAAGUAUGUUAUUAAUGUUAAAGAUUAAAAACAUAUUUGUCUAAAAAGCAAUUCAACUGAGAGAGAAAAUAAAUAGGAAGUUUAUUUUGAAGGAGGUGGGUUGGGGAUGUGCUGUCAGCCAAUCAGGAAGAAGCUCGGACUGUUGACCUGCACGGAGCAGAGUUCACUUCCCCUUGAGCUGUUGGAAGAACGGAGAGCAAACCCCACGUCGAACGAUACCUACCUCGUCAAGACAUUCCAAUAGAAGUUGUUAAAACUCAGAAUAAAAACUCUUAAAAACAAUCCAGUGUGGAGCCCUGGACCUGUGAGAGUGCAGCCGGAGAGAAAUGACGUCCCCUCACGAAGAAAACGCAUCGGUCAGGUUUUUUUUGUUGGACCCUUUGAACCUUUGAUCUACCUGGAUGUUGGAGCCUGGAUCGAGACAUUGAUGGCGAGCCACAGCCCAGAGGAGAACU
Molecule: long non-coding RNA, 504 nt
Organism: Perca flavescens (yellow perch)
Lineage: Eukaryota; Metazoa; Chordata; Actinopteri; Perciformes; Percidae
Exons: 3
Source: RefSeq, a predicted model, not a curated record